RNAcentral lists this long non-coding RNA (1306 nucleotides) under Junco hyemalis (dark-eyed junco). Its description in RNAcentral is "lncRNA (ENSJHYG00000008195.1)". The record is from RNAcentral. Lineage: Eukaryota; Metazoa; Chordata; Aves; Passeriformes; Passerellidae.
UUUUUCUCCAUCCCAAAGAUUUUUUUCCCCAUCCCAAAGUUUUGUUCUCAAUCCCCAGGCUUUUUCCCUUUAUCCCAAACAUUUUUCCCCAUCCCAAGGAUUUGUUCUCCCUCCCCAGGGACGAGGGGCCCCCCAGGGAACUCCAGGACGUGCGGGACAAUUCCAAGGACCGGGAAUACUGGGAAGCCAUGACCCAAAUCAUUCCCCAGCAGAAACUCAAACUUUGGGACGCGCUCGGAUCCGCGCUCGCGGAAUACCACAAAGUGCUGACCCGGAGAUCCCAGCUCUUUUCCGAGGCCACGGCGCUGCAGCAGCAGAACAUGGAGCUGGGAAUGCUGCUGGAGGAAUAUUUGGGAUCCAUGCAAGGCUGAUCCCGCUGAGCUCAGCCUUGGAUUCCCGGGAAUAUUCCAGAAUAUUCCAGAUGUGGAAUAUUCAGCAAAACCCGGGAAUCGCCGGUGCCGGGUUUGGAUUUCCCUGGAUCGGAGCCAGGAAUUCCUGGAAGGGGUUAAUAAAUCAUUCCCAAACCUGGAUCUGUGUGCAGGGAAUGGGAAUUGGAAUUUUGGGAAGUGCCACAAACCCGUGGGAUCUGAGGCCGGGAAUUCCAGGAUGGAACCUUAAAUCCCGUCUCAAUUCCAACCCCACAUUUUCCACAAUCCAGGGAAUUCCUAGAAUUGUGGGAAGUGCCACAAAGCUGUGGGAUCUGAGGCCUGGAAUUCCCAAAUUCUGGGAUGGAAACUUAAAUCCCACCCCAAUUCCAACCCCACAUUUACCAGGAUCCAGGGAAUUCUUGGAAUUUUGGGAAGUGCCACAAAACUGUGGGAUCUGAGGCCUGGAAUUCCAGGAUGGAAACUUAAAUCCCAUCUCAAUCCCAAUCCCACAUUUUCCAGGAUCCAGGGAAUUCUUGGUAUUGUUGGAAGUGUCACAAACUCAUGGGAUCUAAGGCCUGGAAUUCCCACAUUCUGGGAUGGAAGCUUAAAUCCCACCCCAAUUCCAACACCAACCUUCCACAAUCCAGGGAAUUCUUGGAAUUAUGGGAAUUGCCACUGAACUGUGGGAUUUGGGGCAUGGAAUUCCAGGAUGGAAGCUUAAAUCCCACCCCAAUUCCAACUCCACAUUUUCCACGAUCCAGGGAAUUCUUGGAAUUGUGGGAAGUGCCACAAAAUUGUGGGAUUUGAGACACAGAAUUGUCAAAUUCCAGGAUGGAAGCUUAAAUCCCAUCCCAUUCCAGCCCAAACCCUUUCCACCAUCCAGGAAUUCCUGGAUCCAGGGAAUUCUUGGAAUUCUUGGAAUUGUGGGGAAGUGCCAC